CCCUUAGAUGUCCGGGGCCGCACGCGCGCUACACUGAAGGAAUCAGCGUGGCUUUCUCCCUGACCCGAAAGGGUUGGGAAACCCGUUGAAUCUCCUUCGUGAUAGGGAUUGGGGCUUGAAAUUGUUCCCCAUGAACGAGGAAUUCCCAGUCAGCGCGAGUCAUAAGCUCGCGUUGAUUACGUCCCUGCCCUUUGUACACACCGCCCGUCGCUACUACCGAUUGAACGGUUUAGUGAGGGCCUCGGAUUGGUCUCGGCCCGCUCUUUACCGGGCGGCGCCGUUGGUCGAGAAGACGCUCGAACUUGAUCGUUUAGAGGAAGUAAAAGUCGUAACA
RNAcentral lists this ribosomal RNA (334 nucleotides) under uncultured eukaryote. Its description in RNAcentral is "partial 18S ribosomal RNA". It matches the Rfam family "Eukaryotic small subunit ribosomal RNA", at positions 1470 to 1796 of the family's 1831-position model. The record is from RNAcentral.